Molecule: ribosomal RNA, 427 nt
Filed under: uncultured bacterium
Lineage: Bacteria
Description: bacterial SSU rRNA
Rfam family: Bacterial small subunit ribosomal RNA
Source: RNAcentral
UGGGGAAUUUUGGACAAUGGGCGCAAGCCUGAUCCAGCAAUGCCGCGUGCAGGAUGAAGGCCUUCGGGUUGUAAACCGCUUUUGUCAGGGAAGAAACGAGUUUCUCUAAUACAGAGACUUAAUGACGGUACCUGAAGAAUAAGCACCGGCUAACUACGUGCCAGCAGCCGCGGUAAUACGUAGGGUGCGAGCGUUAAUCGGAAUUACUGGGCGUAAAGCGUGCGCAGGCGGUUAUAUAAGACAGAUGUGAAAUCCCCGGGCUCAACCUGGGAACUGCAUUUGUGACUGUAUAGCUAGAGUACGGCAGAGGGGGAUGGAAUUCCGCGUGUAGCAGUGAAAUGCGUAGAUAUGCGGAGGAACACCGAUGGCGAAGGCAAUCCCCUGGGCCUGUACUGACGCUCAUGCACGAAAGCGUGGGGAGCAAACA